GACGAACUGUGCGAACGUUGUUCGGAAUCACUGGGCUUAAAGGGUGCGUAGGCGGCUUGUUAAGUCGGGGGUGAAAUACUUCGGCUCAACCGGAGAAUUGCCUUCGAUACUGGCGAGCUGGAGGAAGGUAGGGGUCGCGGGAACUGCCAGUGGAGCGGUGAAAUGCGUUGAUAUUGGCAGGAACGCCGGUGGUGAAGACGCGCGGCUGGACUUUUUCUGACGCUGAUGCACGAAAGCCAGGGGAGCAAACGGG
RNAcentral lists this ribosomal RNA (253 nucleotides) under uncultured bacterium. Its description in RNAcentral is "partial 16S ribosomal RNA". It matches the Rfam family "Bacterial small subunit ribosomal RNA", at positions 524 to 776 of the family's 1533-position model. The record is from RNAcentral.